RNAcentral lists this long non-coding RNA (1524 nucleotides) under Betta splendens (Siamese fighting fish). Its description in RNAcentral is "lncRNA (ENSBSLG00000008179.1)". The record is from RNAcentral. Lineage: Eukaryota; Metazoa; Chordata; Actinopteri; Anabantiformes; Osphronemidae.
AUGGGCCUGAAAUUGAGCGACUGGAGCUGCUUUGUUUUUCCAGGGAGGUCUUUUCUCGUCUCUGUGUGCGUUCCUGUGCUUCAGGGACAGAAGCACAGGAACGUCCAGCGUGUUCUCGCCCUCGCUCGCCCCGUCCCCCUCGCUCACCCUCGCUCGCCCUCGCUCGCCCCGUCCCCCUCGCUCACCCUCGCUCGCCCUUGCCCGACCCAUUCUCCUCCCUCGUCUUCGCUCGCCCUGUCCCCCUCGCUCACUCAGUCGCCCUCGCUCGCCCCAUUCUCCUCCCUCGCCUUCGCUCGCCCCGCCCCCCUCGCUCACCCUCGCUCCCCCUCGCCCGCCCCAUUCUCCUCCCUCGUCUUCACUCACCCCGUUCCCUCGCUCACCCUCCCUCACCCUUUCCUCCUCCCUCGCUCUCGCUCGCCCCGCCCCCCUCGCUCACCCUCGCUCCCCCUCGCUCGCCCCAUUCUCCUCCCUCGUCUUCACUCACCCCGUCCCCCUCGCUCACUCAGUCGCUCUCGCUCGCCCCGUCCCCCUCGCUCACCCUCCUUCGCCCCAUCACCCUCGCUCGCCCCAUUCUCCUCCCUCGCCCUCCUCGCCCCAUCAUCCUCCCUCGCCCUCCCUCGCCCCAUCACCUUCGCUCGCCCCCCUCCUCCCUCGCUCGCCCCGUCCCCCUCGCUCGCCCCAUCACCUUCGCUCGCCCCAUCCUCCCCUCGCUCGCCCCGUCCCCCUCGCUCGCCCCAUCACCUUCGCUCGCCCCAUCCUCCUCCCUCGCUCGCCCCGUCCCCCUCGCUCGCCCCAUUCUCCUCCCUCAUCUUUGCUCACCCCGUCCCCCUCGCUCACCCUCCCUCGCCCCAUCACCCUCGCUCACCCCAUCCUCCUCCCUCGCCUUCCCUUGCUCGCCCCAUCAUCCUCCCUCGCCUUCUCUCACCCCGUCCCCCUCGCUCCUCCUCCCUCGCCCUCCUCGCCCCAUUCUCCUCCCUCGUCUUCGCUCACCCCGUCCCCCUCGCUCACCCUCCCUCGCCCCAUCCUCCUCCCUCGCCCUCCCUCGCCCUCCCUCGCCCUCCCUCGCCCCAUCCUCCUCCCUCGCCCUCCCUCGCCCCAUCACCCUCGCUCGCCCCAUCCUCCUCCCUCGCUCACCCCGUCCCCCUCGCUCGCCCCAUCAUCCUCCCUCGCUCUCGCUCGCCCCAUCACCCUCCCUCGCCCCAUCCUCCUCCCUCGCCCUCCCUCGCCCCAUCACCCUCGCUCGCCCCAUCCUCCUCCCUCGCUCUCGCUCGCCCCGUCCCCCUCGCUCGCCCCAUCAUCCUCCCUCGCCUUUGCUCGCCCCGUCCCCCUCGCUCGCCCGUGCCUGCCGGCAUUAGUCCCGGUCACUUCUGGCAGCAGACCCUCCAGCCCGGUGGAGCGGCCCCCCGGGGGCAGUGCCCUGCGCCUCCUGUGGUGGUGGUGCUCAUGGCGGCGCUGAAGCGUUUAAUGCUGUCAUCACGAGCGCUUGACUUUCCUCUCGGUCCUGCGGCGGCUCUGGAGGCGUGA